UUAAGCGACUAAGCGUACACGGUGGAUGCCCUGGCAGUCAGAGGCGAUGAAGGACGUGCUAAUCUGCGAAAAGCGUCGGUAAGGUGAUAUGAACCGUUAUAACCGGCGAUGUCCGAAUGGGGAAACCCAGUGUGAUUCGUCACACUAUCGUUAACUGAAUACAUAGGUUAACGAGGCGAACCGGGGGAACUGAAACAUCUAAGUACCCCGAGGAAAAGAAAUCAACCGAGAUUCCCCCAGUAGCGGCGAGCGAACGGGGAGCAGCCCAGAGUCUGAAUCAGCUUGUGUGUUAGUGGAACGGUCUGGAAAGUCCGACGGUACAGGGUGAUAGUCCCGUACACCAAAAUGCACAGGUUGUGAACUCGAAGAGUAGGGCGGGACACGUGGUAUCCUGUCUGAAUAUGGGGGGACCAUCCUCCAAGGCUAAAUACUCCUGACUGACCGAUAGUGAACCAGUACCGUGAGGGAAAGGCGAAAAGAACCCCGGCGAGGGGAGUGAAAAAGAACCUGAAACCGUGUACGUACAAGCAGUGGGAGCACCUUCGGGUGUGACUGCGUACCUUUUGUAUAAUGGGUCAGCGACUUAUAUUCUGUAGCAAGGUUAACCGUAUAGGGGAGCCGCAGGGAAACCGAGUCUUAACUGGGCGUUAAGUUGCAGGGUAUAGACCCGAAACCCGGUGAUCUAGCCAUGGGCAGGUUGAAGGUUGGGUAACACUAACUGGAGGACCGAACCGACUAAUGUUGAAAAAUUAGCGGAUGACUUGUGGCUGGGGGUGAAAGGCCAAUCAAACCGGGAGAUAGCUGGUUCUCCCCGAAAGCUAUUUAGGUAGCGCCUCGUGAACUCAUCUUCGGGGGUAGAGCACUGUUUCGGCUAGGGGGUCAUCCCGACUUACCAACCCGAUGCAAACUACGAAUACCGAAGAAUGUUAUCACGGGAGACACACGGCGGGUGCUAACGUCCGUCGUGAAGAGGGAAACAACCCAGACCGCCAGCUAAGGUCCCAAAGUCAUGGUUAAGUGGGAAACGAUGUGGGAAGGCACAGACAGCCAGGAUGUUGGCUUAGAAGCAGCCAUCAUUUAAAGAAAGCGUAAUAGCUCACUGGUCGAGUCGGCCUGCGCGGAAGAUGUAACGGGGCUAAACCAUGCACCGAAGCUGCGGCAGCGACACUAUGUGUUGUUGGGUAGGGGAGCGUUCUGUAAGCCUGCGAAGGUGACCUGUGAGGGUUGCUGGAGGUAUCAGAAGUGCGAAUGCUGACAUAAGUAACGAUAAAGCGGGUGAAAAGCCCGCUCGCCGGAAGACCAAGGGUUCCUGUCCAACGUUAAUCGGGGCAGGGUGAGUCGACCCCUAAGGCGAGGCCGAAAGGCGUAGUCGAUGGGAAACAGGUUAAUAUUCCUGUACUUGGUGUUACUGCGAAGGGGGGACGGAGAAGGCUAUGUUAGCCGGGCGACGGUUGUCCCGGUUUAAGCAUGUAGGCUGGUUAUCCAGGCAAAUCCGGAUAAUCAAGGCUGAGGUGUGAUGACGAGGCACUACGGUGCUGAAGUAACAAAUGCCCUGCUUCCAGGAAAAGCCUCUAAGCAUCAGGUAACAUCAAAUCGUACCCCAAACCGACACAGGUGGUCAGGUAGAGAAUACCAAGGCGCUUGAGAGAACUCGGGUGAAGGAACUAGGCAAAAUGGUGCCGUAACUUCGGGAGAAGGCACGCUGGUGUGUAGGUGAAGUCCCUGCGGAUGGAGCUGAGACCAGUCGAAGAUACCAGCUGGCUGCAACUGUUUAUUAAAAACACAGCACUGUGCAAACACGAAAGUGGACGUAUACGGUGUGACGCCUGCCCGGUGCCGGAAGGUUAAUUGAUGGGGUUAUCCGUAAGGAGAAGCUCUUGAUCGAAGCCCCGGUAAACGGCGGCCGUAACUAUAACGGUCCUAAGGUAGCGAAAUUCCUUGUCGGGUAAGUUCCGACCUGCACGAAUGGCGUAAUGAUGGCCAGGCUGUCUCCACCCGAGACUCAGUGAAAUUGAACUCGCUGUGAAGAUGCAGUGUACCCGCGGCAAGACGGAAAGACCCCGUGAACCUUUACUAUAGCUUGACACUGAACAUUGAGCCUUGAUGUGUAGGAUAGGUGGGAGGCUUUGAAGCGUGGACGCCAGUCUGCGUGGAGCCAACCUUGAAAUACCACCCUUUAAUGUUUGAUGUUCUAACGUUGGCCCCUGACCGGGGUUGCGGACAGUGUCUGGUGGGUAGUUUGACUGGGGCGGUCUCCUCCCAAAGCGUAACGGAGGAGCACGAAGGUUAGCUAAUCCUGGUCGGACAUCAGGAGGUUAGUGCAAUGGCAUAAGCUAGCUUGACUGCGAGCGUGACGGCGCGAGCAGGUGCGAAAGCAGGUCAUAGUGAUCCGGUGGUUCUGAAUGGAAGGGCCAUCGCUCAACGGAUAAAAGGUACUCCGGGGAUAACAGGCUGAUACCGCCCAAGAGUUCAUAUCGACGGCGGUGUUUGGCACCUCGAUGUCGGCUCAUCACAUCCUGGGGCUGAAGUAGGUCCCAAGGGUAUGGCUGUUCGCCAUUUAAAGUGGUACGCGAGCUGGGUUUAGAACGUCGUGAGACAGUUCGGUCCCUAUCUGCCGUGGGCGCUGGAGAAUUGAGGGGGGCUGCUCCUAGUACGAGAGGACCGGAGUGGACGCAUCACUGGUGUUCGGGUUGUCAUGCCAAUGGCACUGCCCGGUAGCUAAAUGCGGAAGAGAUAAGUGCUGAAAGCAUCUAAGCACGAAACUUGCCCCGAGAUGAGUUCUCCCUGAGACUAUAAGUCUCCUGAAGGAACGUUGAAGACGACGACGUUGAUAGGCCGGGUGUGUAAGCGCAGCGAUGCGUUGAGCUAACCGGUACUAAUGAACCGUGAGGCUUAACCU
RNAcentral lists this ribosomal RNA (2899 nucleotides) under Klebsiella pneumoniae. RNAcentral describes it as "bacterial LSU rRNA". It matches the Rfam family "Bacterial large subunit ribosomal RNA". Lineage: Bacteria; Pseudomonadati; Pseudomonadota; Gammaproteobacteria; Enterobacterales; Enterobacteriaceae. The record is from RNAcentral.